RNAcentral lists this transfer RNA (89 nucleotides) under Perca fluviatilis (European perch). It matches the Rfam family "tRNA". Rfam says of the family: Transfer RNA (tRNA) molecules are approximately 80 nucleotides in length. Lineage: Eukaryota; Metazoa; Chordata; Actinopteri; Perciformes; Percidae. The record is from Rfam by way of RNAcentral.
CCUUCCAUAGCUCAGUUGAUAGAGCGGAGGACUGUAGGUUGAUCAUGACAGGUAUCCUUAGGUUGCUGGUUCAAUUCCAGCUCAAAUGA